AUUUUGAUAGCUUAAGUUUUAAAAGCAUAAUAUUGAAGAUAUUAUUAUAGUUUUAAACUUCAAAAUA
This 67-nucleotide transfer RNA is filed under the name Cosmoscarta exultans. Its description in RNAcentral is "tRNA-Phe". The record is from RNAcentral. Lineage: Eukaryota; Metazoa; Arthropoda; Insecta; Hemiptera; Cercopidae.